GGGGCUGUAGCUCAAUUGGUAGAGCGCCAAGACAAGGGCUGAUAUGCCUAGGGGCAAAAGGUCCUCGCCCCGCGCGAGUGGCCAAGUCCCUGCCGGGGCCUCCAGAAUGAGGCUCCGAGCACCGCCCGGAUGGGCCGCGUCUGAGAGAUGCGGGUUCGAGUCCCGCCAGCUCCA
This 174-nucleotide transfer RNA is filed under the name Klebsormidium nitens. It matches the Rfam family "tRNA". Rfam says of the family: Transfer RNA (tRNA) molecules are approximately 80 nucleotides in length. Their secondary structure includes four short double-helical elements and three loops (D, anti-codon, and T loops). Further hydrogen bonds mediate the characteristic L-shaped molecular structure. tRNAs have two regions of fundamental functional importance: the anti-codon, which is responsible for specific mRNA codon recognition, and the 3' end, to which the tRNAs corresponding amino acid is attached (by aminoacyl-tRNA synthetases). tRNAs cope with the degeneracy of the genetic code in two manners: having more than one tRNA (with a specific anti-codon) for a particular amino acid; and 'wobble' base-pairing, i.e. permitting non-standard base-pairing at the 3rd anti-codon position. The record is from Rfam by way of RNAcentral. Lineage: Eukaryota; Viridiplantae; Streptophyta; Klebsormidiophyceae; Klebsormidiales; Klebsormidiaceae.